This 253-nucleotide ribosomal RNA is filed under the name uncultured bacterium. RNAcentral describes it as "partial 16S ribosomal RNA". It matches the Rfam family "Bacterial small subunit ribosomal RNA", at positions 524 to 776 of the family's 1533-position model. The record is from RNAcentral.
UACGUAGGGUGCGAGCGUUAAUCGGAAUUACUGGGCGUAAAGCGUGCGCAGGCGGUUACAUAAGACAGAUGUGAAAUCCCCGGGCUCAACCUGGGAACUGCGUUUGUGACUGUGUGACUAGAGUACGGCAGAGGGUGGUGGAAUUCCGGGUGUAGUGGUGAAAUGCGUAGAUAUCCGGAGGAACACCGGUGGCGAAGGCGGCUUCCUGGACCGACACUGACGCUGAGGCGCGAAAGCUAGGGGAGCAAACGGG